This 207-nucleotide ribosomal RNA is filed under the name uncultured bacterium. RNAcentral describes it as "partial 16S ribosomal RNA". It matches the Rfam family "Bacterial small subunit ribosomal RNA", at positions 568 to 774 of the family's 1533-position model. The record is from RNAcentral.
CGUGUAGGCGGCGGUAUAAGUCUGGAGUGAAAGUCCUCUUUUCAAGGGAGGAAUUGCUUUGGAGACUGUACAGCUUGAGUGCGGAAGAGGUAAGUGGAAUUCCCAGUGUAGCGGUGAAAUGCGUAGAGAUUGGGAGGAACACCAGUGGCGAAGGCGACUUACUGGGCCGUAACUGACGCUGAGGCGCGAAAGCGUGGGGAGCGAACA